Molecule: ribosomal RNA, 468 nt
Filed under: uncultured bacterium
Lineage: Bacteria
Description: partial 16S ribosomal RNA
Rfam family: Bacterial small subunit ribosomal RNA
Source: RNAcentral
GACGAACGCUGGCGGCGUGCUUAACACAUGCGAGUCGAACGGAAAGGCCCUGCUUUUGUGGGGUGCUCGAGUGGCGAACGGGUGAGUAACACGUGAGUAACCUGCCCUUGACUUUGGGAUAACUUCAGGAAACUGGGGCUAAUACCGGAUAGGAGCUCCUGCUGCAUGGUGGGGGUUGGAAAGUUUCGGCGGUUGGGGAUGGACUCGCGGCUUAUCAGCUUGUUGGUGGGGUAGUGGCUUACCAAGGCUUUGACGGGUAGCCGGCCUGAGAGGGUGACCGGCCACAUUGGGACUGAGAUACGGCCCAGACUCCUACGGGAGGCAGCAGUGGGGAAUAUUGCACAGUGGGCGGAAGCCUGAUGCGGCAACGCCGCGUGCGGGAUGACGGCCUUCGGGUUGUAAACCGCUUUCGCCAGUGACGAAGCGUGAGUGACGGUAAUGGGUAAAGAAGCACCGGCUAACUACGUG